Non-coding RNA from Alteromonadaceae bacterium Bs31, 97 nucleotides. It matches the Rfam family "Bacterial small signal recognition particle RNA". Rfam says of the family: The signal recognition particle (SRP) is a universally conserved ribonucleoprotein involved in the co-translational targeting of proteins to membranes. Archaeal SRP consists of a 7S RNA and homologues of the eukaryotic SRP19 and SRP54 proteins. In most bacteria, the SRP consists of a 4.5S RNA and the Ffh protein (a homologue of the eukaryotic SRP54 protein). The record is from Rfam. NCBI's taxonomy places the organism in Bacteria, Pseudomonadati, Pseudomonadota, Gammaproteobacteria, Alteromonadales, Alteromonadaceae.
AUCUGGUCCCCCCGCAACAGUUCGCUGUGAACUCCGCCAGGUCCGGAAGGAAGCAACGGUAGCAGUACAAUUGUGUGCCGGGGUGUGGCUGGGUUGG